Non-coding RNA from Rattus norvegicus (Norway rat), 859 nucleotides. The record is from RefSeq and is a predicted model, not a curated record. NCBI's taxonomy places the organism in Eukaryota, Metazoa, Chordata, Mammalia, Rodentia, Muridae.
AGCACCCAGGAGCAUGACGGGGUAUCACUUUGAAGCCAGCACCUCACCUGUGCCUUUAACAAGCCAGUGGAUCUCCGAGGCUGGCAUGCGGCUUCUGGGUGAGUCAUUGCUCAGCUUUCGCAGCCAGCCCUGCCCAGUUGCUGUGGGACUGUCCGUCAAGUAUGGUUUCAGCUGUCUCAAUGCAGAUAAAGAAGUAUGACGUCUGUCUGGUCUGUGGAACCAUCUGUGGAUAGGUCAGAAGGAACAGGGCCAAUAGAAGCGUCUGUGUCUGUGAGAGAAGAUUGGAGCAUCUGGGGGUUCCUUUUCUGGAGUUGUCCUGGAUGUAGUAAGCACCUGGACUUGACAAGAUGCUGAAACACACACGUAUGUUAUAUUAGAGGUAGAGAAUAAAGGCUCAAGUCCAAGGAAGCAGCAAGAAGCCACCAGCAUGCCACCAGAAGAUUUUUUUUUCUCUCUAUGGAGUCCCAACAAAUGAUGACCAAUAAACAAUGGUUAAUGUUCCUUCAUGAGCCUGCCUUAGGGAAACAUCGUCUCACCUGUGCCUGCUUCCGGAAAACACUCUUUCUCGAGUCUGCCCCAGCAAAACACCAUAUAACACAACUGACUUUCCAAAGACACCAGAAGUUUCCUCUUCAGUCACCUAACUCUGGUCAUCAUGUGCUCUAUGUCUAACAUCUAAUUUGUGACAUUUGGAUGUCUUUCUCAGGAGGCUAGCAAGGACAAGCCUGUCAGUGGCGUCCUUGUGGUGUGCAGUGUGGACCUCUACAGAUCCUACUUCUGAAUCCUGGAAAGAAGUAAGCCGUUUAGAGGGCAGCCACCCCUUGCCUUUGUAGACCAUAAAAUAAAAGCCCUUCACUCA